Molecule: ribosomal RNA, 453 nt
Filed under: uncultured bacterium
Lineage: Bacteria
Description: bacterial SSU rRNA
Rfam family: Bacterial small subunit ribosomal RNA
Source: RNAcentral
AUUAACGCUGGCGGUGUGCUUUAUGCAUGCAAGUCGAACGAUUCUUAGCAAUAAGUUUAGUGGCAGACGGGUGAGUAACGCGUAAGUAACCUGCCCUUAAGUGGGGAAUAACUCUGAGAAAUUAGAGUCAAUACCGCAUGUGAUCCGCUCACACAAGUGGGUGGAUUAAAGCCGUAAGGCGCUUGAGGAGGGGCUUGCGUCCGAUUAGCUAGUUGGUGAGGUAACGGCCCACCAAGGCAGUUAUCGGUAGCUGGUCUGAGAGGGCGACCAGCCACACUGGAACUGAGACACGGUCCAGACUCCUACGGGAGGCAGCAGCAAGGAAUAUUGGGCAAUGGGCGAAAGCCUGACCCAGCGACACCGCGUGAGGGAAGAAGGCCUUCGGGUCGUAAACCUCUUUUUUUGGGGAAGAAUAAUGACGGUACCCAUGGAAUAAGUCUCGGCUAACUACGU